This 480-nucleotide ribosomal RNA is filed under the name uncultured bacterium. Its description in RNAcentral is "partial 16S ribosomal RNA". It matches the Rfam family "Bacterial small subunit ribosomal RNA", at positions 28 to 507 of the family's 1533-position model. The record is from RNAcentral.
GAUGAACGCUAGCGGCAGGCCUAACACAUGCAAGUCGAGGGGUAGAAGGAGCUUGCUCCUUUGAGACCGGCGCACGGGUGCGUAACGCGUAUGCAAUCUACCUUGUACAGGGGAAUAGCCCAGAGAAAUUUGGAUUAAUGCCCCAUAGUAUAUAACCUUCGCAUGUUGGUUAUAUUAAAGUUCCAACGGUACAAGAUGAGCUUGCGUCCCAUUAGUUAGUUGGUAAGGUAACGGCUUACCAAGACGAUGAUGGGUAGGGGUCCUGAGAGGGAGAUCCCCCACACUGGUACUGAGACACGGACCAGACUCCUACGGGAGGCAGCAGUGAGGAAUAUUGGUCAAUGGUCGCAAGACUGAACCAGCCAUGCCGCGUGCAGGAAGACGGUCCUAUGGAUUGUAAACUGCUUUUAUACAGGAAGAAACCCUCCCACGUGUGGGAGCUUGACGGUACUGUAGGAAUAAGGAUCGGCUAACUCCGUG